RNAcentral lists this ribosomal RNA (116 nucleotides) under Pseudogracilibacillus auburnensis. The record is from RNAcentral. Lineage: Bacteria; Bacillati; Bacillota; Bacilli; Caryophanales; Bacillaceae.
UCUGGUAGUUACAGCGGAGAGGUCACACCUGUUCCCAUCUCGAACACAGUAGUUAAGCUCUCCAGCGCCGAUGGUAGUCGAGGCUUUGCCUCCGCAAGAGUAGGACACCGCCAGGA